AGAGUUUGAUCAUGGCUCAGAUUGAACGCUGGCGGCAGGCCUAACACAUGCAAGUCGAACGGUAACAGGAAACAGCUUGCUGUUUCGCUGACGAGUGGCGGACGGGUGAGUAAUGUCUGGGAAACUGCCUGAUGGAGGGGGAUAACUACUGGAAACGGUAGCUAAUACCGCAUAACGUCGCAAGACCAAAGAGGGGGACCUUCGGGCCUCUUGCCAUCAGAUGUGCCCAGAUGGGAUUAGCUAGUAGGUGGGGUAACGGCUCACCUAGGCGACGAUCCCUAGCUGGUCUGAGAGGACGACCAGCCACACUGGAACUGAGACACGGUCCAGACUCCUACGGGAGGCAGCAGUGGGGAAUAUUGCACAAUGGGCGCAAGCCUGAUGCAGCCAUGCCGCGUGUAUGAAGAAGGCCUUCGGGUUGUAAAGUACUUUCAGCGGGGAGGAAGGGAGUAAAGUUAAUACCUUUGCUCAUUGACGUUACCCGCAGAAGAGGCACCGGCUAACUCCGUGCCAGCAGCCGCGGUAAUACGGAGGGUGCAAGCGUUAAUCGGAAUUACUGGGCGUAAAGCGCACGCAGGCGGUUUGUUAAGUCAGAUGUGAAAUCCCCGGGCUCAACCUGUGAACUGCAUCUGAUACUGGCAAGCUUGAGUCUCGUAGAGGGGGGUAGAAUUCCAGGUGUAGCGGUGAAAUGCGUAGAGAUCUGGAGGAAUACCGGUGGCGAAGGCGGCCCCCUGGACGAAGACUGACGCUUAGGUGCGAAAGCGUGGGGAGCAAACAGGAUUAGAUACCCUGGUAGUCCACGCCGUAAACGAUGUCGACUUGGAGGUUGUGCCCUUGAGGCGUGGCUUCCGGAGCUAACGCGUUAAGUCGACCGCCUGGGGAGUACGGCCGCAAGGUUAAAACUCAAAUGAAUUGACGGGGGCCCGCACAAGCGGUGGAGCAUGUGGUUUAAUUCGAUGCAACGCGAAGAACCUUACCUGGUCUUGACAUCCACGGAAGUUUUCAGAGAUGAGAAUGUGCCUUCGGGAACCGUGAGACAGGUGCUGCAUGGCUGUCGUCAGCUCGUGUUGUGAAAUGUUGGGUUAAGUCCCGCAACGAGCGCAACCCUUAUCCUUUGUUGCCAGCGGUCCGGCCGGGAACUCAAAGGAGACUGCCAGUGAUAAACUGGAGGAAGGUGGGGAUGACGUCAAGUCAUCAUGGCCCUUACGACCAGGGCUACACACGUGCUACAAUGGCGCAUACAAAGAGAAGCGACCUCGCGAGAGCAAGCGGACCUCAUAAAGUGCGUCGUAGUCCGGAUUGGAGUCUGCAACUCGACUCCAUGAAGUCGGAAUCGCUAGUAAUCGUGGAUCAGAAUGCCACGGUGAAUACGUUCCCGGGCCUUGUACACACCGCCCGUCACACCAUGGGAGUGGGUUGCAAAAGAAGUAGGUAGCUUAACCUUCGGGAGGGCGCUUACCACUUUGUGGUUCAUGACUGGGGUGAAGUCGUAACAAGGUAACCGUAGGGGAACCUGCGGUUG
This 1522-nucleotide ribosomal RNA is filed under the name metagenome. RNAcentral describes it as "bacterial SSU rRNA". It matches the Rfam family "Bacterial small subunit ribosomal RNA". The record is from RNAcentral.